Long non-coding RNA from Haplochromis burtoni (Burton's mouthbrooder), 6805 nucleotides. RefSeq lists it as uncharacterized. The record is from RefSeq and is a predicted model, not a curated record. The transcript has 2 exons. Lineage: Eukaryota; Metazoa; Chordata; Actinopteri; Cichliformes; Cichlidae.
UGUGUGUGUGUGUGUGUGUGUGUUGAUUCCUUAGGAUUGGGAGAUUGUGCAGGCUCAGUGUUUUCACUUUAGUUCUCAGACAGUUCAGAAGAACGUGUCUGUUUGCAGCUGUGUAGACUCUGUGGUUUUUCCUGUUCCUUUGGAGUCCAUUGCAGGAAUGUUUGCUGCACUCCCAAAUCUCAUUAUUUUAGUAGUGCUGAGCUUGUCUUAUGUCUUUAUCUGAUGUGAGAUUAGUUGGCACACAACUGCUUCCUCAUUUAAAGUGAACUUCUGUUCCCUUUUUUUUUUUUUUUUUCCCAGCCGAGGUCUGAUGUAUGCUUCCCGACCCGAAUCCUCAGCUGCCGCUAAUCCAAAUCUCAUUGCGGCAGCGCUGUACACCUCCAAACAUCCUAAUCGGAUCAGAAGUGCAGGAGCAUGAUGCCAGGCAAAUGAAACCAAGGAGGGAGAGUGUAUCUAAAUCCUCGUCUUAAAGCUUAAAUGAGCAUCACACGUCCGUCUGUCUUUCACUUAAUGAGAACGACCGAUGCAACAGUUUUGUUAAGUUAACGAGAGCUGCGUGCAUGCGCACGUGCAUGAGCGGCUGUCUGUUUUGCCAUCAGGACCUAGAUGGCCACAGCUGAUCGAUUGUGAAGCGUUUUUCUUUUUUCUUUUUUUUUGUGGGUACAGGGAGAUUAAAUGAAUCCAGCGCCUCUCGUCUUAAUGAGCCUCAAGCACAUAUCGUUUCACCGGCUGCUGCACUUAAAAAAAGAAAAAGGGAAAAGCUUGCCCUUCUCUUUAUCUGUUCCUCCGCCUCCACUUUUACCAUUCUUUCAGGAGACUUGAGAGGGUUUUGCAGUGCAAAGCAGGCAAUGAUUUACUAAAAGGUCCUUUAAUCAUUACAGGUUUUAUUUCUCUGGCCUGUCUGGAGGUCAGUCUCAUUGUUGCAUUUCUUUUCUAUUUUUUUCUCCUUACACAAAAGGAACUCUGUUUGUCAUCAGGUUGUUGACAGCAGAGAGAGGAGGAGAGUUUAGAACUCUGGGCUCGUCUGCCUGCAGGUCCGAUGAGGAUCAGCAGGUUGUUCAUUAAACAUCGCUCCCAAUCUCAGCUGUUUCGUGUUCCAGCAGAAUGUGCUGCUGCAGAUGCUGUUCUGUCACUGAAGAAAGGGCAGGAAAGAGAUCCACAAAAGAAUAUUUCAUUUAUUUAUUUAUUUGUUUUAGGAAAAAAAAACACCAAUGAAGCUGGCAUCCUGCUGAAACCUGUCUGCCUCAAAGCCUCAUUACUUAAAAAAAGAAAAGAUAAAAAAGUCAGAAAGCAAACGGCAUCAUCUGUAAAGAGAGAAAGAAAGCAAAUUUGUUUACGUCCCCAGCCGCUUCAUCACCAUCAUCUUCCUUCUGUUUAGCACCCGCAGAUGCUGUGAAUACAGUGAAUACAUGAUGCUUGCUUUCAGCACACAUCUGAUCUCCCAGCUCACUGCAGUCAUGAAAGGAUUGCUUUUUUUUUUUUUUUUUUUUUGCAUCUCUUAACUUGCCUGCUUCCCCACAAUCCUCUGCUUCAUUCACUUCUUUGACUUAAAAAAAAUCUGGGCUGAGGGAUGGCGAGGUCGGAGGCUGGUAGAAUAGAAGAAGAAGAACAAAAAGAGAAAGUCUGAGUUUCUCCUUUGAUUCCGUCUUUAAUCAAAGUCUAGAAUAUUCCAUCAGUAGCGAUUGCUGCCAGUGUUCCUCCUCCACAUUCCUCUCUUCCAAAGCACAGUGGUUUGUAACUCUCUCUGCACUUAUCGUCUUGUUUUUUUUCCUCCCUUUCAUUUCAUCUCUAAAGUGGGCCGCGUUCACGUUGUGUGGAGAAUCUUCAAAUGCAGCAGAACGAGGAAGAGACACGGCAGUACGAAUUGUGACAACGAGGCAGGAGGACGGGGGAAAGUGCAGUAGACAAAAUGCAAAAGUAAAAAGAAAAUCGCUAUUGUCUGUGCUAACACAUGCUUUAUAUGUUAAAUUGAAUGUGUGUGCGUGUGUGUGUGUGUGCAUGAAUGGAUGGAAGACAUUUCAGGCAGCUUCAGAGGGUGCUAUUACCAAAAUCAAGCCAAUGAGUUACCAAAAACUGCUUUAAUCAUUACGGAUUGAAUUCUUUAGGCACGUCUGGGGGUUACGUUCAUUGUCUCUCACUUCCAGACAACAGAAGCUCUGUUUGUCUGCAGCUUUUGCCAGCAGAAACAGAGGAAGAGCUUUUCAGUUUAGAAUUGGUUCUUAAGUAAAAAACAUGACAGCCAGCCAAUGAAAAUCUGAAGUGGCAAAAAAAAAAAGAGGAAAAAAAAAAAGGUUACAUUUAAUUCUUGAAAGUAACACAGUCAGUUUAUAACCCUGAUCUGUGUCUUAUCUGUGUGUUUUGUAACAUACUCUGCAGCGUGCUCUGUCAUUAUCACUUUUCCCCAAAACUUUGCUGCUUUGCAACAACAACAGCCAACAAUAACAGGCAAUUAUUACAGUUUCGCUUAACAAAUGAUUGUUAUGCCACAUUCAGCUCACUGAUGGGAACAGGGGAGGCCGCAUGUGUUUCAGAGUGUGUGUUCUCAAGCAUGGCGGCCAGCACCCUGCAGGCAUCUAAGCUGGCAGGCAGGCCCAAACAGGCCCGGCGCUAAGAUCAGACCUUGGGCAGCGUCUCUUUCUUCUGCCGGUCUUCUGCCUGCAUGGUGUGUGUGUGAGUCAAAGUGGCCCAGACAGGGCCGUUCUUUUAAUCAAGGGUGUCUGAAAUCAGUCAGGACCGAUAACAUACUUGUGGGAAGAGCUUCAGAGGGAGCAUAGAGACGGUAUAAGAAGGAGGGAGGAAGAAUGAAGAGGACUGGUGGGAAGGAGCUGUGGCACCAAUAAGGAAAUUCAGGACAGUGAGAUGGAGGUGUGGCAAGUACAGAGCAGAGCGGAUAAUUGAGGCAUGUAUGUGUCGGGAGAACGAUCCACUCUGUACUAAGAGUAAAAUAUUACAACGUCAGUCCAUUUGUCCGAAAGGCAGGCUGUCUCUCAGGUGUUUGUUAUGGCUAAGCCCAAAACAAAUGGAUCUAAAGUGAGACAUUGCAAAUACAGUAAAAAUAAAAUGAGGAAGAUUGACCUUUAACUUCUCGUCUUGCAGCUAGGGCUCAUGGGAAAAUAUUUUGCUUUGCAUGAAAAUAGCAAAAGAUCAGCUGGGACUCAAAUCAGUGUUCUGAAUUCAUUAGCACCUAACAGAUUUUUUAGUAUUACUUCUAUAUAUAUAUCCAGUGAAAAAUGUGUUAAACCUGUAUUUUCUUUCUUAUGACCAGUGUGGGGCAGAUCCUCUGAUUGCUUGAUGAAGUUUGGUUAAAUAAAAGUGUAUGGGACUCUGCUGCCUAAAUCUAUGACCUUAGUAAACACUUUCCUAGUGGCUUUAUAGCCUCAGUUUCAGGUGUUUUUGUGUUCAACAUGCUCUUCAUUUUGUAUUUUACACUUGGCAUUAGUGUCCACCAGGAUGAUAAAGUGGGGUAUGAUUUAGGGUGGACCUGUGUUGUCACAUUGUAAAACUGUGAAAUAUUUUUUACCUGGAAUUCUAUAUCCUGGCUUGAGCUGCUGAGAGUGCUCCUUUUCCACCAUGUAACCGAACUGGUAACUAGCAUCCACUAUUUGCUCUUCCUGUCAGAUAGAGGGCAUCUAUCAGGUGCUCCAGUGAUGUCUGGUCAGGUCAUUUGUUUAUAUUUGGGUCCCACAUCACCAGCCGUUGGCAUUUCCUCCUUCCUCACGUGCCGUCACAGCCUGGUUCUACUCUAGUGUGUUUUUUGUGCCUGGAGGAGUGAAACAAGUUUUGUUGUUUUCAUCUUCAGCAGGAACAGCUUUCUUGGAUAUUUUGGAAAGUAUUGUGCUGCGCUGCUGUUGGGGGUUUUUACCUUUUGUUGCCAAAUCACUUCCAUGUCAUUGAAGUAUCUCCAUCUUUAGGCACUAAAUUGUCAGCGGAGGUUUGCACGUGGCUUUUGCUCUCAGGCGUGUUUGGGCUUGUGUCAGUGUUAGGGAAUGUAAACACUUUGUGUCACUCUGUCAUUGAUGUGGGGACAUGGCACUUUUUUUCUACAUAUUAACAUGUUUAACAUUCGCACUGAUGAAUACAUUGCAGAGCCAAUCAGGGUUCAGUAUCUUGCUCAAGGAUACAGCCAGGGAUCAAACCACAAACCCUCUGUAAAGAGCCACAACCACCCAGCUUUAGAUCCAGUUACAUAAAGUAGGUCUUUAUCACUUGGGUUAUAUCAGGUAAAAAAAGCUUUAGCUAUAUUUGUCUUGUUGUCUUGAUUUCCUACUCCAAAUAGAUUUGCCAAAACUAUUUCUCUGUUUAAAACAUUUUGUAAAUGUUUCCUUUUUUGCCUCAUUGGAUCUGUGUUUAGCGAUUUGGCCCGUUAUGACAUUUCCGCUUUUCCUGUCAUCCUGAAAGAUGGAUUUAAUAAAAGUGUACAGAGGGCCUGGACUUUUAAAACAAGAGUGAUGUUGAUAAAACUCUCCUCUUGUGUUAUUUCCUCUCUCUCGCUUUCAUUAUACUGCUGCUGUUUUUGGGUCUUUGGGGGUGGUGUGUGUGUGUGUGUGUGGGGGGGCUGCUGCAUGAAGAUUGAUGUCUUCAUUUUCUGAAAUGCCCCGGGCCAAAUUAACAUUUAUUGAGUUACAUCCAAAUUUUGCUUUUAUGAGAGUCUAAAAUAGGACCACAGCUUCCAAGGCAGAUAUUAAAUGACGGAGAACGGCUUGGGACACGAAAACCCUUCAUUGUUUUAGCUUUUAUUGUUGAUCAAGGUGGGGAGCUAAAAUCGAAAAAUAGGAUCAGGUUCUAAUUUGAUGACUGCGGCAUCUACAAACCAGGACUCUGAUGGGCAUUGUUCUUUCGCUUUCUGAUGGGGGUUGAUGCUCUAUUGACAGUUGUUAUCGUGCAGGUGCGUAAUUAUUCUCCAACCUCAGGGGAUCCAUAACUCGCAUCUUCACUGCAGUGUGAUGUGAAGGCUGUGGCAGGUUAAGCGCCGCAGACUGACAAAGCAAAUAUUUGUGUCGUCUCUUUAAACGGGAGGUUUAUUAGGGCAGCGGAGUGGGCUGCUGUCAUUUCUCCUUCCAGACGCGUGAAAAGCUUUCUGUCAUGUUCAACUUUCCCUCCCGGAGUUAAUCCGAACUGUCGUGCUGUAGAAUGCUCUGGUGGCAUGAAUUAGGACAGACGCUGAAUACCUUGUUUCAAAACAACAUUAUUAAACCUUAUUAUUAAAUAACCUCUGCAUCUACUGUUUUUUUUCAUUACUAUUAUUUGCAUUCAAAGAAAACAAAUUCUAGUUUAUAGACAUCAAGUGCUUUCGCAUCCCUGCUACGCAGAAAAUGGAACAUGCACAGCAUAGCAACAAAACCAGUUAGAGAUGUCUAUAAUUAGCUUAAGUGAAGCUGUACCUCUCCAUCCUACACACACAGUGGAAAAUUGGAAAAAAAAAAGUAUCAUCAGUGGGAGUUUUGCUAUCAGUGUUAAAUUGAGGGCUGCACAUUUACUGAGAAGCUGUGACCAGUGAGGUAAACAAAUAACAUAACAUACAGCUGCCUCAGAUGAUUUCUUAGACAUUAGGGUUCCAAUAUGUGCAUUUGACUAUUUGCAUUGAAAAGUUGAACAAUGCGUUUGAGUUAAGAAGUUAAAACUCCAUAACCAUAGUUUUCUCUCUCUGAUGAUCCCUUUUCAUGCCCAUAGGAGUAAUCUGUGCAGGGCAACACCGCCUUUGAAUUGGAAGCUGACUGUAUCAUCGCCACCCUUCGCCUGCAGAGCUGUGUUCUUAUGAAUUCCGAAUGAAGGCUCGAGUAAAUGAUCGAUGCCAACAGUUGCUCUUACUCUCUCUGUCAGACCCUGAUAUCUUUCUAGUUUAAGAUCAGUCAGCUGGUCAAGGUUCUGACUCUGCAGAUGCCUCUAAUUUCCUACAACACAACAACAAAUUUCUAGCACUGCCCUCUCUUUGCCUUUUUCUGUUGUCUCCUUCCUCAAACAGACAAUUGGUUUCUAUUGAUUUCCUGAGCAUCAUUCCCAAGAUGACUCAUCCUUUUUUUUUUUUCUCUGAGCGCUGACAGUCUGGCUCCAUGAGGAAAUGCUUUCUUUAGGUUUCCUGUUCUACUUUAGGUGAUGCUUGUCAAGGUGCAAGGUCCCGUCUGGGCCUUGAGGCUCAGAAUAGUUGUUCGUGAUAGUAGGUGGGAAAGAUUUAUUGUGUAUUCUUUCUUUAGGAGAAGUAACAACAUCUUUAGUGGGGCUGAGGUUGGCAAGAGGUGCGCUGUAGUGCCCCUGAGGAGAAUUUGGCCUUCCUCGACUGUUUUGUAAGCAUUUGACAGGUGAAAUAGUGUGGGAACUGCGGGGAGUGUUACUUUAAAAUGCUUUUUGUUGCGCUUGUCGGGGAUGUGGAGGUGCCUGGUGAAUGCUCAAUAGCUCUGUAGGAGCCGCUGGUGAAUGGUUGAGUGCUGGGGAGAAAAUGGCUUCCCGCAAUAGUUGUGCAGAUUGUUUCUGAGGCGCUUUUCUGUCGGGAAACUGUCCACAUUUCUUUCCCCCAACUGCUGGCUCCCACAGAGGGGUUCAGAAACACUUCUUUUUCUUUUUGAUUGAUCAGACUGACAUGCAGUUUGCCUGUUUCUCAGCCUGGAGCCAGUUGGACAGUCGCCCUAUGAAGUGAUGAGCCACAUGUUUCGCAGAGGCCCAGCUUACUCGCUAACAUCCUCGGCCUUGGGGAGAAAGACUUGCUGUGGCGUUUAUUGUAAUGGCACAAAGCUGCCUCACUGUCCACACUCAUUUUCUUUGUUUUCACUGUUGGGUUCCAUGUGUUGUGGAAAUCUCACAUGGGGUACAG